GUAGGUGGCAAGCGUUGUCCGGAAUUAUUGGGCGUAAAGCGCGCGCAGGCGGUUCUUUAAGUCUGAUGUGAAAGCCCACGGCUCAACCGUGGAGGGUCAUUGGAAACUGGAGAACUUGAGUACAGAAGAGGAAAGCGGAAUUCCACGUGUAGCGGUGAAAUGCGUAGAGAUGUGGAGGAACACCAGUGGCGAAGGCGGCUUUCUGGUCUGUAACUGACGCUGAGGCGCGAAAGCGUGGGGAGCAAACAGGGAUAGAUACCCUGGUAGUCCACGCCGUAAACGAUGAGUGCUAAGUGUUAGGGGGUUUCCGCCCCCUUAGUGCUGCAGCUAACGCAUUAAGCACUCCGCCUGGGGAUACGGCCGCAAGGCUG
RNAcentral lists this ribosomal RNA (371 nucleotides) under uncultured organism. RNAcentral's name for it is "partial 16S ribosomal RNA". It matches the Rfam family "Bacterial small subunit ribosomal RNA", at positions 527 to 896 of the family's 1533-position model. The record is from RNAcentral.